GCCUCAAGUUAUGUGUGACAACCCCCUGAAUUUAAGCAUAUUAAUAAGGGGAGGAAAAGAAACCAACCGGGAUUCCCUGAGUAGCUGCGAGCGAAACGGGAGAAGCUCAGCACGUAGGGAUGGCGGCCCGCCCGUCUAUCCGAUUCCGUGUACUGGUACGUCUCACUAUCCGUCUUCCUAGUGGUAUUCAAGUCCAACUUGAACGUGGCUUUGAACCCAUAGAGGGUGAUAGGCCCGUAGAACACCACCCAGCGGUUGAUGGACCGAGCGUACCAUGGAGUCGUGUUGCUUGAUAGUGCAGCACAAAGUGGGAGGUAAACUCCUUCUAAAGCUAAAUACGACCAUGAGACCGAUAGUAAACAAGUACCGUGUGGGAAAGUUGAAAAGCACUCCGAAUAGAGAGUCAAAUAGUACGUGAAACUGCCGAGGGUGUAAAGCCUGUUGAACUCGAUUAUCCGUAGUUCCUGGCAUCGUGGGUUUUGGCUGUCACGCAGAAGGGGGCCUUCUGUAUGCCUUGACCCUAGCCAGGAACGAGUGCGGACAUCGUGAUCCAUUACGCAAACCAAAUGCGAGCGGCGACUCCGGUUGCUGCGAGCAUAUCCAACAUCAGGUCCCAGAACAUGCGGUCGACCCUCUAGUAGUGGCGCUCAGCUUAAGGCCGGCGUCGCGAACGGGGGAUCGAGGCUCCGGUCUCGAGUUCGGCUAGUUCCGGUGUGCCGUUGGAUGCGUGAUGGGCAUUGAAGUGAACUAGAGAAGUGUGAAGCGCAUGUUUGGGCAUGUUCAAGGGCGAAAGCCUGAGCCGAGCACGACUCCGGAUCUACGAUGUACUAACUAAUCGAGGUACCUACGGGACCCGUCUUGAAACACGGACCAAGAAGUCUAUCUUGCGCGCAAGUCAAUGGGAGUAGCAAACCCAAAGGCGAAGAUAACACAACUGCAAAGUCGUUGCGGGAUUACGGGUGCACCACAGUCCGCGAGGACUGGCUAGCUGUGCCGCCCCUCCAUCCCCGGGUGUUUAGCAACGGAUCUGUAGUGCCGCGGACCCCCCGACAGGGGUGGGCAUUUGCAGAGCCAACGCGACAUACCGCGAGCGCGCAGGAUGUGACCCGAAAGAU
This 1115-nucleotide ribosomal RNA is filed under the name Anopheles sinensis. RNAcentral's name for it is "eukaryotic LSU rRNA". It matches the Rfam family "Eukaryotic large subunit ribosomal RNA", at positions 1 to 824 of the family's 3401-position model. Lineage: Eukaryota; Metazoa; Arthropoda; Insecta; Diptera; Culicidae. The record is from RNAcentral.